GCCGGGGUAGCUCAGUUGGUAGAGCAGAGGACUGAAAAUC
Molecule: transfer RNA, 40 nt
Filed under: Abrophyllum ornans
Lineage: Eukaryota; Viridiplantae; Streptophyta; Magnoliopsida; Asterales; Rousseaceae
Description: partial tRNA-Phe
Rfam family: tRNA
About the family: Transfer RNA (tRNA) molecules are approximately 80 nucleotides in length.
Source: RNAcentral